RNAcentral lists this ribosomal RNA (446 nucleotides) under uncultured bacterium. RNAcentral's name for it is "bacterial SSU rRNA". It matches the Rfam family "Bacterial small subunit ribosomal RNA", at positions 352 to 789 of the family's 1533-position model. The record is from RNAcentral.
CAGUGGGGAAAUAUUGGGCAAUGGGCGAAAGCCUGAUCCAGCCAUGCCGCGUGUGUGAAGAAGGCCUUCGGGUUGUAAAGCCCUUUUGGUUGGAAGGAAGGGCAUUUACUUAAUACGUGGGUGUUUUGACGGUACCGACAGAAUAAGCACCGGCUAACUUUGUGCCAGCAGCCGCGGUAAUACAAAGGGUGCAAGCGUUAAUCGGAAUUACUGGGCGUAAAGCGCGCGUAGGUGGUUUGUUAAGUCGGAUGUGAAAUCCCCGGGCUCAACCUGGGAACUGCAUUCNAAACUGGCUAGCUAGAGUAUGGUAGAGGGUGGUGGAAUUUCCUGUGUAGCNGUGAAAUGCGUAGAUAUAGGAAGGAACACCAGUGGCGAAGGCGACCACCUGGACUGAUACUGACACUGAGGCGCGAAAGCGUGGGGAGCAAACAGGAUUAGAUACCCUG